GAGCGAAAGCUUGACCGAGCGACGCCGCGUGCGGGAUGAAGGCCUUCGGGUUGUAAACCGCUUUCGUAGGGGAGGAAAUUUCGGUGGGAUCACUCAUCGAUUUGACCUAGCCUAGGAAGAAGGACGGGCUAAGUUCGUGCCAGCAGCCGCGGUAAUACGAACCGUCCAAACGUUAUUCGGAAUUACUGGGCGUAAAGGGUGCGUAGGCGGCCCGGGAAGUUGGGUGUGAAAGCCCUCGGCUCAACCGAGGAACAGCGCCCAAAAAUGCCGGGCUCGAGGGAGAUAGAGGUGGGCGGAACAUAGGCUGGAGCGGUGAAAUGCGUUGAUAUCCUAAGGAACACCGGUGGCGAAAGCGGCUCACUGGGUCUCU
RNAcentral lists this ribosomal RNA (370 nucleotides) under uncultured bacterium. Its description in RNAcentral is "bacterial SSU rRNA". It matches the Rfam family "Bacterial small subunit ribosomal RNA", at positions 373 to 738 of the family's 1533-position model. The record is from RNAcentral.